UACGAAGGGUGCAAGCGUUACUCGGAAUUACUGGGCGUAAAGCGUGCGUAGGCGGUUUGUUAAGUCUGUCGUGAAAGCCCUGGGCUCAACCUGGGAACUGCGAUGGAAACUGGCUGACUAGAAUGUGGCAGAGGGUAGCGGAAUUCCUGGUGUAGCAGUGAAAUGCGUAGAUAUCAGGAGGAACAUCCAUGGCGAAGGCAGCUACCUGGGCCUGUACUGACGCUCAUGCACGAAAGCGUGGGGAGCAAACAGG
RNAcentral lists this ribosomal RNA (253 nucleotides) under uncultured Lysobacteraceae bacterium. RNAcentral describes it as "uncultured Xanthomonadaceae bacterium partial 16S ribosomal RNA". It matches the Rfam family "Bacterial small subunit ribosomal RNA", at positions 524 to 776 of the family's 1533-position model. The record is from RNAcentral. Lineage: Bacteria; Pseudomonadati; Pseudomonadota; Gammaproteobacteria; Lysobacterales; Lysobacteraceae.